UUGAAUGCUGGAUAGCCCUACUUGACAUUUCUAUAAUUAGAGUGCCUAUUGAAAACUUUUAACAAUUUUCCAUAAUCUUCUUGUAUGUUAAACCAAUUCAUAUUUUUCUCUUGUAACUCCCCCAAUUAUUCGCUUGCACAUAAAAAAAGAGUCAAGAUGGCUUGGUUGAGUCCCAUGUGUUUAAGAAUCAUUAUUUUUUUCACAAGCAGAUGCUCAAAGCGUAAUUGCAAAUUGUAGCAGUGCUUCGUUCUCCAUCCUCUACUCUGAAAAUGACGAUUUCCUUCGUAAGUUUGAUUUCCAUGUUAUUGCUAAACUCCAAUAAGUAGAUGAAAUUUAUAUACUUACCUUUCAUUUAUGAAAUUUAUAUUAUGUCAAUUAGUUUUUUGGAUUAUUUUUACCCUCAUAUUUCAUUUUACUUUUUCUAUUGUAUAAUUUAAACUUACAUCAAUAUUUUUCAGGAAAAAACAUUGAUUGUUGUCGGUACGAUUAAGCAUGUGCGAUCUCUUGUUCCAAUCUUCAAACCUCUGUUUUAAAAAUAAUAUGAUUUUAAUAUUAUUUAUGACAUGUUUGUUUCUUUUUCAGAUAUGUUG
Molecule: long non-coding RNA, 590 nt
Filed under: Lactuca sativa (garden lettuce)
Lineage: Eukaryota; Viridiplantae; Streptophyta; Magnoliopsida; Asterales; Asteraceae
Description: long non-coding RNA (LSAT_LNC004719)
Source: RNAcentral